GCUACUUUGGCCGAGUUGGUCUAAGGCGCCAGAUUAAGGCUCUGGUCUUCUCCGGAAGGCGCAGGUUCAAAUCCUGCAGGUGGCA
This is a transfer RNA of Plasmodiophora brassicae, 85 nucleotides long. It matches the Rfam family "tRNA". Rfam says of the family: Transfer RNA (tRNA) molecules are approximately 80 nucleotides in length. Their secondary structure includes four short double-helical elements and three loops (D, anti-codon, and T loops). The record is from Rfam. Lineage: Eukaryota; Endomyxa; Phytomyxea; Plasmodiophorida; Plasmodiophoridae.